This 712-nucleotide long non-coding RNA is filed under the name Gallus gallus (chicken). Its description in RNAcentral is "lncRNA (ENSGALG00010021967.1)". Lineage: Eukaryota; Metazoa; Chordata; Aves; Galliformes; Phasianidae. The record is from RNAcentral.
GCUCUGCUGUCAUUGCUGUGCUUUCCAUGGCAUUACAGUGUUAUACCAGUUACUGACACUUCAGCAGGCUGGUGUCAUCCGUAUAAAGAACAAAACAGGAAUGAUGUUGCAUUCAGACACACUUACGUGUUUUGCUCUAUGGUUGACAGCACGCCGUUGGCCUCGCGGGAGAACCGCAUCGCAUCUCUCGUCCGAGAAGAUAAGAUUUGUGUUCCCUAUCAGCGUCCCCCGGUUUCUGCAUGAAAACCAAGCAUGCAUCACAGCUGGCAAACAAGGCAAAAGAAGAUGCAUAAGGGUACCUGAAAUGAAGCAGCUUCAAGGGAGCAGAGGAUGAAGAGCAGAUCUCCAAGCAUUAGAGGAGCAAAGCAGCAAGCCUCCCCACUCAAGAGCAUUAUUUCAAGCUCCAGCUCCUGGAACAGAAUAGCAUUACCAUGCACCCAAAGACCUCAAGCUGCUGGUAAGCUAUUGCUGGUGGCCAGAGAUGUUAGAUACUCACAAGCAUGUUCUCUUCUCCUGCAGACAUUUGAAAUCUACCACUUCUGUUUCCACCUCAAGCUUACCACAGACAGAAGGGGAACCACACCACUCUGAGCAGCAGCAGCAGCUUAAAUCCUUGGUCUCGCACGGGGAGCCCCUACAAGAAGGAGGCAGCGCUUAAUAAGAUUAGCAAAUGUUUAAGUCUGAGCAAAUAAAGAUAGCAAGUUGUUUCUCA